Molecule: small RNA, 579 nt
Filed under: Pongo abelii (Sumatran orangutan)
Lineage: Eukaryota; Metazoa; Chordata; Mammalia; Primates; Hominidae
Description: processed transcript
Source: RNAcentral
CUUUUCUUUACCUCUCUUCAGCUCAGAGGCAUCUGUACUACUGAAAUAGGACCUCAGAAAAAGACAUGACCUAAGAUGAAGGGAAUGAAGAGCUGCGAAACUUGUCUUUGUCUGGCCAUGUGGGAUUUGACAGCCUCCCUGACCAGCUGGUCAACAAGUCUACUUCACAAGGAUUCUGUUUCAACAUCCUUUGUGUUGGUGAGACAGGCAUUGGCAAAUCCACGUUAAUGGACACUUUGUUCAACACCAAAUUUGAAAGUGACCCAGCUACUCACAAUGAACCAGGUGUUCGGUUAAAAGCCAGAAGUUAUGAGCUUCAGGAAAGCAAUGUACGGCUGAAGUUAACCAUUGUUGACACCGUGGGAUUUGGAGACCAGAUAAAUAAAGAUGACAGCUAUAAGCCGAUAGUAGAAUAUAUUGAUGCCCAGUUCGAGGCCUACCUGCAAGAGGAAUUGAAGAUUAAACGUUCUCUCUUCAACUACCAUGACACGAGGAUCCAUGCUUGCCUCUACUUUAUUGCCCCUACUGGACAUUCACUAAAGUCCCUGGAUCUGGUCACCAUGAAAAAGCUGGACAGUA